AGGAUAAAGAAGUUCAAGUGAAGAUAAGCAGAAUCUUCUAAAGGGAACUUGGACAGGCAAGAGGAAAUGAGCAGUGGGGUAUGACAGGAAAAGGGUCUCACUGUGUUGAGCUGAUUCCCAGAGGAAGCUGAUCAAGAGGACACAUUCUACGUUUUUCAAGCUUGCUCAGACUUGGGAGAACUCAGGCUUCAGGGGACUGGAGGAAGGAGAGAAACCUGGCUAACAGUCAAGACAAAACAAGAGAGAAGCUCACGUAGACAAGGAAAAGCUGUUUACACAGGAGUGUACUAAGUAACCCAAUGGCAUUAUAAAAAGAGCGUCUACUCUCAACCUGUCCUCUGAGAUGAUUCUGGAUGAAAAUACUGGAAAGUCUCAAGUGAACUGGCAUAAUCAUUAAAGAAAAUGUUUCUCAUAGAAAACAACCUUGACUCCGC
Molecule: long non-coding RNA, 434 nt
Filed under: Equus caballus (horse)
Lineage: Eukaryota; Metazoa; Chordata; Mammalia; Perissodactyla; Equidae
Description: lncRNA (ENSECAG00000055438.1)
Source: RNAcentral